RNAcentral lists this ribosomal RNA (492 nucleotides) under uncultured bacterium. RNAcentral's name for it is "partial 16S ribosomal RNA". It matches the Rfam family "Bacterial small subunit ribosomal RNA", at positions 29 to 507 of the family's 1533-position model. The record is from RNAcentral.
AUUGAACGCUGGCGGCAUGCUUUACACAUGCAAGUCGAACGGUAACAGGCCUUCGGGUGCUGACGAGUGGCGAACGGGUGAGUAAUGCAUCGGAACGUACCCAGAGGUGGGGGAUAACGCAGCGAAAGCUGUGCUAAUACCGCAUGUGAUCUGAGGAUGAAAGCGGGGGACCGAGCAGCAAUGUUUGGCCUCGCGCCUUUGGAGCGGCCGAUGUCGGAUUAGCUAGUUGGUGGGGUAAAGGCCUACCAAGGCGACGAUCCGUAGCUGGUCUGAGAGGACGACCAGCCACACUGGGACUGAGACACGGCCCAGACUCCUACGGGAGGCAGCAGCGGGGAAUGUUGGACAAUGGGCGCAAGCCUGAUCCAGCAAUGCCGCGUGCGGGAAGAAGGCCUUCGGGUUGUAAACCGCUUUUGGCAGGAACGAAACGGUGUCCGCUAAUACCGGGCGCUAAUGACGGUACCUGCAGAAUAAGCACCGGCUAACUACGUG